UACGGAGGGUGCAAGCGUUAAUCGGAAUUACUGGGCGUAAAGCGCACGCAGGUGGCUGAGUCAGUCGAUUGUGAAAGCCCUGGGCUUAACCUGGGAAUUGCAUUCGAGACUGAGUAGCUAGGGUGCGGUAGAGGGAAGCGGAAUUUCCGGUGUAGCGGUGAAAUGCGUAGAUAUCGGAAGGAACAUCAGUGGCGAAAGCGGCUUCCUGGACCAGCACCGACGUUCAGGCACGAAAGCGUGGGGAGCAAACAGG
Molecule: ribosomal RNA, 253 nt
Filed under: uncultured bacterium
Lineage: Bacteria
Description: partial 16S ribosomal RNA
Rfam family: Bacterial small subunit ribosomal RNA
Source: RNAcentral